AGAGUUUGAUCCUGGCUCAGGAUGAACGCUGGCGGCGUGCCUAAUACAUGCAAGUCGAACGAGAACUAUUGGAUCUUCGGAACUGAGAAAUUCUAGUGGCGAACGGGUGAGUAACGCGUUGGUGACCUGCCCCGAAGAGGGGGAUAACGGUUCGAAAGAACCGCUAAUACCCCAUGAGCUCACGAGAGUUAGAGGUCUUGUGAGGAAAGGAGUAAUCCGCUUCGGGAGGGGCCUGCGUCCCAUCAGCUAGUUGGUAGGGUAAAAGCCUACCAAGGCGAUGACGGGUAGGGGACCUGAGAGGGUGACCCCCCACAAUGGAACUGAAACACGGUCCAUACACCUACGGGUGGCAGCAGUAGGGAAUAUUGCUUAAUGGACGAAAGUCUGAAGCAGCAACGCCGCGUGUACGAUGAAGGCCUUCGGGUUGUAAAGUACUUUUUGUAGGGAUGAGGAAGGACAGUACCUGCAGAAUAAGCCUCGGCUAACUACGUGCCACCAGCCGCGGUAAAACGUAGGAGGCGAGCGUUAUCCGGAUUUACUGGGCGUAAAGCGCGUGUAGGCGGAUUGGUAAGUUAGCUGUGAAAGCUCCUGGCUUAACUAGGAGAUGUCGGUUAAUACUGCCAGUCUAGAGUAUGUGAGAGGGAAGUGGAAUUCCGGGUGUAGUGGUGAAAUGCGUAGAUAUCCGGAGGAACACCAGAGGCGAAGGCGGCUUCCUGGCACAUUACUGACGCUCAGACGCGAAAGCUAGGGGAGCGAACGGGAUUAGAGACCCCGGUAGUCCUAGCUGUAAACGAUGUAGACUUGGCGUUGGUGGGGUCAAACCCAUCAGUGCCGGAGCUAACGCAUUAAGUCUACCGCCUGGGGACUACGGCCGCAAGGUUAAAACUCAAAGGAAUUGACGGGGACCCGCACAAGCAGCGGAGCGUGUGGUUUAAUUCGAUUUACACGAAGAACCUUACCAGGGUUUGACAUGCAAGUGGUAGUGAAGCGAAAGCAGAACGACCCUUCGGGGAGCUUGCACAGGUGCUGCAUGGCUGUCGUCAGCUCGUGUCGUGAGAUGUUCGGUUAAGUCCGCUAACGAGCGCAACCCUCGUCGUGUGUUACAAGUGUCACGCGAGACCGCCGGUCAUAAACCGGAGGAAGGUGGGGAUGACGUCAAGUCAGCAUGGCCUUUAUGUCCUGGGCUACACACACGCUACAAUGGCCAGUACAAUUGGUAGCGAGGUCGCGAGGCGGAGCCAAUCCGUAAAAGCUGGCCCCAGUUCAGAUUGUAGGCUGCAACCCGCCUGCAUGAAGAUGGAGUUGCUAGUAACCGCAGGUCAGCAAUACUGCGGUGAAUACGUUCCCGGGUCUUGUACACACCGCCCGUCACGUCAUGGGAGCUGGCAAUGCCUGAAGCCGGUAUUCUAACUC
Molecule: ribosomal RNA, 1413 nt
Filed under: metagenome
Description: bacterial SSU rRNA
Rfam family: Bacterial small subunit ribosomal RNA
Source: RNAcentral